This 963-nucleotide long non-coding RNA is filed under the name Homo sapiens (human). RNAcentral describes it as "HSALNT0157551". Lineage: Eukaryota; Metazoa; Chordata; Mammalia; Primates; Hominidae. The record is from RNAcentral.
CACUUUUAGACACAAUCUGUUCUGGGUCAAUAUUUGUUUCACCUUGGCAAAGCUUCCUAUACAAACCUGUGAUCAUAUGCCUUUGUUUUCUCACUUCAGGUACAAGAGAGGUGAGCACAAGAUGGGCCAAAUAUGAGAUGUGGAAUCAGGAAAAACAGAAAAAGUGGAAGAAAUGGCAAACGUGGACGUGAGAGCAGCUGGGUUUUCUAGCUCUGGGCGUCUGCAGGAAUCAUGUUCCAGGAAGGGCUGGGAGAGGCUGCGGGGAAAAGGAAGGGGUGCAGGGGAGUGUGCCCCACCCUUGCCCUGUGCCUGCAGGUGGGCCGGACUUGGACCCUGCCUGGAUGAUCUGCGAAGAAAUAGGGUUCCAAAAGGGCAGAUCCCAAGACAAUGCCUUAUAAAGGUCCUGGCUAACGUUUCCAUGGCAGCUUGCUGAGUGGCCGAGCUGAUCUCAGCCCUUCCAGGGGUGACUCAUUGACUCCUCCCAAGCUGGAGAGGUGAGAGUUCUUUUCCGGUUUACAUAUCAGGAAGCUGAGGCAUGGAAAGGUAGCUGGAGACCACCCUGGCUGAGCUGUGAUCAGUCGCAUCUAGACUAGUUUGGUGUUUCAGAGCAAGUCUCUCAAAUGCCCUGUGCCUCAAUGCUCUCAUCUGCACGUUGGAAGAAAGAAUUCCUGCUUCCCAGAGCCGUUGGGAGGAGUAACAGAGGUGAAGUGUGUAAAGUACACACGAAAGGAACUCAGCUGACAGCAGCAUCUUCACUGGUUCCUCUCUGUGACACAGGGAACGUGAUCAUGCCAACAACAUCCUUUGCUGUGAACAUCAAACAAACAAACACAUGUGAUGAAGUUACAACAGCCCCUAGCCCAUAGGAGGAACUCAGAUGAUCUUGCUCUAUCACCUGGGCUGGAGUGCAGUGGCAUGAUCGCGGCUCACUGAAGCCUCAUCCUCCUGGGCUCAGGUGAUCCU